Molecule: long non-coding RNA, 3973 nt
Filed under: Nicotiana tabacum (common tobacco)
Lineage: Eukaryota; Viridiplantae; Streptophyta; Magnoliopsida; Solanales; Solanaceae
Description: long non-coding RNA (NTAB_LNC010272)
Source: RNAcentral
UGGUCGUUGCCCUCUCAGAUUCCUGUUCGGACUGGAGGAUGUGGAUAGUGUCCUCCAACGUCGUCGCCCUUGCCACAGCCGACGCCCGAGCAUUCUCGGCACUCUCCAACUCAGACAUUUUCCUCUCCAGCUCGGCCAAUUUCCCCAUCCACUCGGCACCCAAAUCCUUCACUCUGGCGGCAUUUUGAUCAAGUUCAAACUGCAAUGACAAUACCUUCGCCUGAAGAUGCUCACAUUUUACAGCGACCCCCUUUCCCAACUCGAGUUCCCCAUCAUUCGCCUCAAGCUCACUAUUCCUGUGAAUGGACUGCAUUAGCUCUUGAUCCCUUUUCUCCAUCUCCUCCCCGAGAGAUUGAUUAACGACGCCUGCCCUGAGCCGCUCAUGCAUCUCAUGGCACUUGUUGCGGUAGUUCCCUCAGCCCUGGUAGCACUUUCGAUCUCCAGCAUGUAAGACUGAAAAGCCAAAAAAGUGAAGAGAAAAGAGUCGAUACAGGCCAAGGCCGCCAAAACAAAAGGAACACGAAAAAGAAACAAAGAGGAGAAACUUACCCUCAGGCCCAUAGCGGCCACUUCAUGCAUCAAUUUGACGUCACUGAUGUCCCGAAGAGCCUCACACUCAGCCUCGGAGCAUUAAAGGUCAAAUUGCAGCACCAAACCCUCCAUGUCCCACAAAAGAUUGAGCUUCGAUGGAAUCUCAAGUAUACGGGAAGAAGCUCCCACUCUUACCACAGUACGGUUAAAGCCCUCUUCGAACAUCCUGACAUCAUCAGGAUCAAGAUCGGAUUCAGACUCGUAAUCGUCAAGCACAACGCCUUUUCCCCUCUCCGCGGUCGAAGCCGUGGCAAGAGUUGACCUGGAUGACGAAGGGCCGCCCACGACAACAACGACAGCCUCAGAGCUCCGUCUCUCCGCCACAAUAGCAUGUUGAUCACUUACAAUGGGAACAACCUCUGCCACCGGAUUGACCUUUGUAACCGAGUUAGCACCAUCACCGAUUUUAGAUACCGCCGCGGGCGAGGGGGGGUCGCCUCCCGAAGAUGCCUCAACUGGAGGAGCCAAUUCUAACUCCACUCGACAUCUCUUCGACGGGCCUUUUUCAUUGUCAUCACGGGAAGAUUCACCCGUUGAACAGAUGGUAGAAGCCGGAGUCUCAGGUUGAGGAGUUUUCUCCGUGCGCAUAACCCCGACCAUAGGAACAGAUUGUGUAGCAGAUCUCGGUGCAGGCCGAGUAGCGGCCCUCAGAGCGGGUCAUGCAGGAGGCACAGGUUGACGAAAUGCAAGCGGAAGAGCCCUCGCCCUUCGCACUCUCCCUGCCAGCAAAGAAAGACGUUCAUACAACGACGAGAUCAAACCAUAGAGCAUGAAAAUAUAUAGCAUUUGCAGCGGGUCGACUCACCAGUAAGAGGCUUAUGCCCAUAUCUCUCAUAGAGGGCCACCCAUUUACGAACCCCCAUUAUAUGGAUAAGAAUGGCAUUCACCCACUCACAGAUGUCAUCGACUAGGGGGGAGACAAUCUCUCGGUUGCGAAAGCAAAAGCAUGUUAGCAUCACCAUCUAAAAAUAAAAUAAUCGACCACCACCUCAAGGGAAGAUAAAAUAAAUAAUAGAAAACUUACGGGCGAAGUUCCACGUCUCGGGGAACCCUGUUGGGUCCGCCACAAGGUGUUCGGUCCGCACGUAAAAGUAGUUUUCCCAGGAAUGGCAAUUAGCCUUAUCGUCCAUCUUGACCACCAAAUUCUUUGUCCCUCGGGUGCGCAUAUGGAUCAUCGUGCCUCGAAUUAGUUGGGGGGCAAACAUAUUGAGCAUAUGCCCCAAAUUGACCUAUCGGCCAGCGAGCUCUGCGUACUUGAGCAGCAUGAGGAAGAGUUUGCACACGUAGGGCGAAAGUUGAGCUGGGCACACUUCGUAAAAGCGGCAGAAGUCUAUCACUAGAGAGAGGAGAGGAAGCGUAUACCCGACAACAAAGGGGUACGCGUAGAAUGCGCAAUACCCCGGGCGAUAAAAGUGAACAUUAUCCCUUCCCAUCACCGGCACCAUUUCAAUAUGGUUCGAAAUUCCCAACCUGGCCUUGAGCGCCGCUAUCGCCGCUUCAUCCAUGGUAGAGGGUGCAGGAUCAGGUUCUUCUCUGGCAGGGCUGUUGAAAUCGGUCUAUAAUUUCCCCGGACGAGGCAGUAUCUCAGCCGUUGUUGGAACUCCCCCAUCUACCGCCGGCUUCGCUCCCUUUUCAAGAACAGGCACGUCAUUUUCCGGCACCGGAGCUUCGGCGGGCCUGUCAUUCUUGGAAGAGGAACCAACCAUUUACCUAAAUUUGAUCGGAAUAAACCAGAGUGAUGAUGGAAAAGAUAGGAUGCUCACAUCGAAACUCCGACGGAAGCAGAAAUGUGAAGCCGAGAGUAUGAAGUAUUGAAGAUGGAGAUUUGCAAAAUUCUCAGGUGAGUUGAAAAGUGUAACGAUCAAGUGGUGGCUUCCCCUAUUUAUAGAGACACAAAUGUUCUGAGCGGGAAACCCAAGAGCCGCCAAUUAAAAAAAAACUGAAAAGGCACGGGAAACGAUAUGGUGCAUGGGAAAUGUGUGCCAUAAUGAUGCACGAUGGGAAUUCACGACGUUUCGGAUCGAUGCAACGAUUCGGUUCCGAACUGACGUAACGGUUCGAUGACGCCACUGAAGCGUCACGUUAUCACCAUGCCUUAAGGGCCUCGUUCGACUCGUAAUGUUUAGAUUUUUCCUAACUUUUGAAUCGAUAAAAUCCGUCCAUUUAACUCGCCGAGAGGCGACCCCAACAGACGGAGGGACUAACUGUAUGAGUCAAAAUCUGACCAUAAGUGGUCAUCCUCAAGAGGGAUGAUAAGGGGUCGACGCGGCCGUAAUCAUGCCCACGGGGCGAGAUAGCAAAAAGCACUUCGGCCAUCGCCGGAGUCGAACCAUCAGAAAGCAUUCAUCCCAGAUUCGAGUAGACGAUGAAGGAUACAUUCGUAAGAAAGCAUGCUGGUCAAAGACCAUUGGAUAAAAGGGAAAGGAACUAUAUAUAUGGGGGGAAUUCCUUAGAAAGAGGGGAGAAUAGAAAAGGAGAUAAGAAGAAUCCCUUGUUUGUCGACAGCUAUCUCGCUUCCCCUUCUUUGCUCCCUUGUUCAUGGUGCAUCUCUGCUCUGGAUGUAAGCACAUCUCUCAUGUUUGAUGUACGAUUGCCAUAUUAAUAAAUCUUAUACAUGCUUACUCUUCUUUAUUUCGCGCUUUAUAAGUUUGGAUAUGAAAUUAAUUAUAUAUGUUUGGCAAAGAUUUACCUCCUUUAUUAUUGAUAAUUAGUUUGACAAAAGGAUUUUAAACUUUGUGCCCAAACAUAAUAGUCUUGGCUUCUUUGAGGUAACAAAUUGAUUGAAUACGUUCCCCUUACAUUUUAUGUAUUUGACCCUAUGCUCUCCUUCACAAAACAUGCCCGAUCAACAUUUUCAUAUACAUUCAAGCAGCAAAUUAUUUUGUGUCGUGUUUUUGCUUAUGAAUUGCAUUAAAAUAUUAUGGAUAUGUGGUGCAUAAUAUAAACAUAUACUUAAUCAAUCAAAACACUCAAAACUAAUUAAUCACAAAAUAAUAAGGUGAAAAAUCAAUAAAUUAAUUACCCUUGAACGCUUUGUAAAGUUGCAUGGCAUCGUCACGAGGCGAUGUUAAAACUGGAGGUAUAAUCAAUGUAGCCAUAUGUAUCUGUUAAUUCUGUGCUACCGAUCUCCCGUGAAGAAAACCAAUACAGAAUGGUUUCGCCUAUUCAAAAUUAAUUAAGAAGAGAUCGAUGCCGCCUACUACUAAAAUCUUGGUUUCUCUCUCUUUUUUUCUCUCCCUUCUUUUAGAUAUUUUUGAUAGUAAAUCAAAAAGAGAGAGAAAGGUAUAACAGAGAGAAACAUUGAUCAGUAGAAUAUUGGAGACAUGCAAUGUAACGUAAGUGAUCAUUCAGAAUAGAGUUAGAAAACUUUGCAUGAAUUAAU